GACGAACGCUGGCGGCGUGCUUAACACAUGCAAGUCGAACGGAAAGGCCUCUUUCGGGGGGUACUCGAGUGGCGAACGGGUGAGUAACACGUGAGUAACCUGCCCUUGACUUUGGGAUAACUUCAGGAGACUGGGGCUAAUGCCGGAUAGGAGCUCCUGCUGCAUGGUGGGGGUUGGAAAGUUUCGGCGGUUGGGGAUGGACUCGCGGCUUAUCAGCUUGUUGGUGGGGUAGUGGCUUACCAAGGCUUUGACGGGUAGCCGGCCUGAGAGGGUGACCGGCCACAUUGGGACUGAGAUACGGCCCAGACUCCUACGGGAGGCAGCAGUGGGGAAUAUUGCACAAUGGGUGGAAGCCUGAUGCAGCAACGCCGUGUGCGGGAUGACGGCCUUCGGGUUGUAAACCGCUUUCGCUCAUGACGAAGCUUUGUGUGACGGUAGUGGGUAAAGAAGCACCGGCUAACUACGUG
RNAcentral lists this ribosomal RNA (467 nucleotides) under uncultured bacterium. RNAcentral describes it as "partial 16S ribosomal RNA". It matches the Rfam family "Bacterial small subunit ribosomal RNA", at positions 28 to 507 of the family's 1533-position model. The record is from RNAcentral.